RNAcentral lists this ribosomal RNA (311 nucleotides) under uncultured bacterium. RNAcentral's name for it is "bacterial SSU rRNA". It matches the Rfam family "Bacterial small subunit ribosomal RNA", at positions 1 to 334 of the family's 1533-position model. The record is from RNAcentral.
AGUAGACGUUCAGAGUUUGAUCCUGGCUCAGAACGAACGCUGGCGGCAGGCUUAACACAUGCAAGUCGAACGAACGUAGCAAUACGUUAGUGGCGCACGGGUGAGUAACGCGUGGAUAUCUGCCUUUUGGUUCGGGAUAACCUUGGGAAACUAGGGCUAAUACCGAAUGGUUCCUACGGGAUAAAGAUUUAUCGCCAAAAGAUGAGUCCGCGUCCGAUUAGCUAGUUGGUGUGGUAACGGCGCACCAAGGCGACGAUCGGUAGCUGGUCUGAGAGGACGAUCAGCCACACUGGGACUGAGACACGGCCCAG